This 320-nucleotide ribosomal RNA is filed under the name uncultured eukaryote. RNAcentral's name for it is "partial 18S ribosomal RNA". It matches the Rfam family "Eukaryotic small subunit ribosomal RNA", at positions 1470 to 1796 of the family's 1831-position model. The record is from RNAcentral.
CCCCUAGAUGUUCUGGGCCGCACGCGCGCUACACUGAACAGUUCAACAAGUCUUAACCUUGGCCGAUAGGUCUGGGUAAUCUUUGAACGCUGUUCGUGAUUGGGAUAGACCUUUGCAAUUAUGGGUCUUCAACGAGGAAUUCCUAGUAAACGCAAGUCAUCAGCUUGCGUUGAUUACGUCCCUGCCCUUUGUACACACCGCCCGUCGCACCUACCGAUUGAAUGGUCCGGUGAAAUCUCGGGACGGCGGCUUGGUCGCUUGCGUCCGACUGCUGAAACUUGAUUAAACCAUAUCAUUUAGAGGAAGGUGAANUCGUAACA